Molecule: non-coding RNA, 6122 nt
Organism: Doryrhamphus excisus (bluestripe pipefish)
Lineage: Eukaryota; Metazoa; Chordata; Actinopteri; Syngnathiformes; Syngnathidae
Source: RefSeq, a predicted model, not a curated record
CGUCAGAGGAUCGUUUGCACUCCCGAGGAAAAGUUUGAGGGCGCCAUGUUUUCACGGGAAGCCGGUGGAAUACGACAUGAACAGUCUUUAACAACGAAAUUAAUCGAUGUGGAGUCAUAUGGAAUAUUGAAGGACGUUGACGCUCAAGAAUUUGGUCUCAACAGCUUAAGACGAGGGUGGGGGUAUACUGGAGUCUAUCCCAGCUGACAAGAGGCAAGAGGCGGUGUACACCCUGGACUGGUGGCCAGCCAAUCACAGGGCACAUAUAGACAAACAACCAUUCACACUCACAUUCAUACCUAUGGACAAUUUGGAGUCGCCAAUUAACCUAGCAUGUUUUUGGAAUGUGGGAGGAAACUGGAGUACCCGGACAAAACUCUCACAUGCACGGGGAGAACAUGCAAACUCCACACAGAGAUGCAACGGAGAAUCAAAGCCAGGUCUUUGGUUUAGUUAUGAAAUGUUUAAUUUAUUUCACAGGUUCCUCUUCCUUGUAUUUUUGUGCACCAUGAUCAAGUAUGUCCUUCCUUUUGAUGACCACAUACGUAUAUAAAUGGCCCCUCUGCCAAAUGUUUUCAUUCAAUGUGGCCGGCAAGUACAACAAAUGUAGUAAUGGUGUUCUGGUUUGAAAGAAUGUUUUGUAAAAGAUGUGUUAAGAUAAUUUCAUUUAAUUCAAAGAAGGUCAUCUUAAAGAAAUACAACACAAUCAUAUUAGAAAAGUGGUGUAGGUGGUAGCUUAAAUCUCAUGUAUAUAUUACUUACAAAUUGCUCCAAAUGAAGUAAGGGAAAACUAGUUAAACAAUCCUGAAAGGUGAGUAUAUUUAAAUGGAUUGUUAAGUAGAUUCAAAGGUAGUUUUGAGUAAAAUUUACUAGCAAAGAAAGUACCUUUUGUGUCUAAGACAGUACAUCUCAAGUAAUAUUAAAGAGUAUUUUUAAUUAAACAAAUAAUCCUUGCUGACAAGUAAAUUAUACUUGAAUAUUUCUUAAGUAAAAGUUACUUAGGAAUUGUGUGUGCAAUUUGUUACCUAGCUUUUUUCAAGUAAAUGGCACUCCACAUUUUCAGUGUACAGUAAUAUCACAAAUCAGAUAUUGAAAGCAUACUUUUGUAAUUAUAUACAUAUGAUUGUGACUUUUUGCACAGGAAAGGUCAUGUACUUUAGUUUUAUAGAUAAAAUGCGUCGGUGUGCUCCUUGUUAUCACAUGUUAGGCACACGAUGCCCUCUGGUGGUGAAUAUUUGUCAUGCCACCUCAUUUUUCACCACACUUUUUUGUUUGCACUAAAAUUCUACUUUGACUGAUUAGUGUUGAUGUAUGCUGAUUGACAGAUCAUUAAAAUAAGUAUUAAUGAAUCAAUGUGUAUUUAUUACUAUUACGGUAUUAUAUAGUAAUUGAUGUUGCACUACAGCCCCAGUAUUAUUGGGACACUGAUAUCAUAUUGUUCAGUUAAUUGAGCUAUGUCGUGUUUAGAAGGCUAUGUCAUAGACUUUGUGUCUUGCUGAUGUGAUUUGUCUGUGGAUUAACUUUAAUUUUGGUUUCUGUUUUCCAGGUUGUGGACUUGUUAAUUGACGAGAAGACAGCAGCUCCUCUACAGUAAGACGUGUGUGAAUAUAAUUGAUACAGGCCAUCAUCACAUCAUGAGACAUGUAAGACAGCAGCAGUACACGUGAGGAUUCAUAAAGACAUUCUGUCCAGCUGACAGAUUGGAAUGUGGCGCCUCCUGCGGGUUAAGGCUGCAGACAAGGUGGCAAGAGUGGACUGGAGUUGAUUCGGCUCCAGAAAAAGAGGAGAGGAGGAGAAGAGGAGGUUUUUUAGGUGAGUUGACAGUGUAACCUGCAUGGUGCUUGCAGCCUUAAGCCAGAGAUGAGCGUUAAUGCCCCCACAAUCCAAUAAUGAUCCAAUAUGAACAUGUGUUUAGCCACUUAUCAUGCAGCUCUAAGCGGAUGGGGAAACAUUUCAUUUACAUUUUAUAUUUCAUUAUUUAAAAAAAAACACUAUUAUAGGGUAAAUAUUUUUAGGGGUAACUAUUGUGAUAUGCAACAACAACAAACGGGCCCUCAGCACUGAAGUGGUUUAAGUUUUCAACAAAUAUUUUAUGUAGGAACACCAAGAAAAGUGAAGGAAAGGGGGAUAGAAAAGAGAAUGAGACGAGAGGAAGAACAAGAAGGGCAAGGUGGGUGGCGGGGGCAAUAAUUAUGUACAAGCAUAUUUCUACACGUAUAUUACACAGCGGGAGAAUGAUGGCGUUAUUUUCGACAUAUUAUAUACAUCAUUCCAUAUAAAAUUUUGAAAAUAAAAAAUAAAAAUCUGAUACAGUCAUCAACAUAUUUUGACCCCACAAAGGCAGUGACAGGAUAUUUUUUUUCUUUAAAAAACAAAAACAAAAAGGUGCUUAUAUACGACUUGAAAUGAUUGUCUGAUGAACACAAAAACAACAAAAAAAAAGGGGAAAAACGGGAUUGCAUCUUGUCUGCGUGACGGCUGCUUCAGCAACAUCAUCAUCAUCACAAAAAAAGGUGAAAAUGUUAAAUUCCCUCUGAUGGAUGCUUCUGAUGGAGGAUCAUCUUGCACUUUGGAUGCAAAAUGAAGAAGAAAAUCAAAAUAUUCAUGCAAGUAGUCUAGUGGGGGACUUUGAUGAGGAGGCGUGUGUCCUUUCUGAAAGCGCUUUUAAUAAAAAAAAAACGUGCUUUAUCUCUUUUUAUUCAAUAUUUAUAUCAAUCGGUCCUUUCCCCCCCAUCGUCGAUAUUUCAUAAGUCUUUUUUUUCCUCUCAGGUCCGUUUUCCCUGUAAAUAUUUCUCUUUUUUCUUAUGUGUUUUUUGUGUGUUUUUGUGUUGUUUUUGCGUAUCAUACGUCGCACUCCGAGUCACUGGAGGUGACGGACAGAAUGGAGGUUCCGGUGUCGACUCGCUCCGUCAUACUGGACACGCUGGUGGUGGGACUGGCCGCGGUGGAGGGCGACUCCGCCGAGCUGUGAGGGGUGAGGCCGGCCUCCGAGAGGGACCUCAUGCCGGCGGGUCCUAUUGCUUGGUGCUGGAGCCUGUAGCGGACAAGUGAGAGGAAGGGGAUGUGCACCUUCUCCUGAGCUGACCACAGACUGAAGCUUGGACUGGACACAAGUCAGUAAAUGUUAGGACCCAACCUGUCCACUUUGUUACUCUCCUGAAGCUCAUCCAGGAAGGGUAAUUCCAAGUGGCACCGUUUGGAGAAAGCUCCCUGGACUGGAAGUAAAAGGCUGGUAUUUUCACGCUGGGGUUAAAGCCAAGCCUCACACACACACACACACACACACACACACACACACACACACACACACACACUAAAUGAAGUUACAAGUGAAGGCUUAGCACCACUAGAGCCUAAUAUGCAAAGCCUCCUUACCUGACUGGCUCUCCUGGUGCACCAAUUUAGGUGUCCACCAUUGAAAGCAAAGCUGCAGGUAUUAUCUAGCAUUAUGUUUUAGUGGAGCCUCUCUCUCCCUCUCUCUCUUUUUUGGGGUGGGGUUGCCCCUCGCAGGCAAUUCGGAAAUCACUCCUAUAGAGUGGACAAGAGGUGAAAUGCAAAACCUGAAUGGAGGGAGUGAGGGGAGAGAAUGGGGAGUGGGGCAUGGGAGUGCUAAUUCACAUUCUUUUACGCGCCUUUUGUUUACGUUAAGCAUGUAAUUAACACCCCCCCAAACAAGUUUAUUCACCUGCCGCUAAUUGUGUGUUUAUCCGAGGGCUUACUCAAUGUUCCGAGCAGCGGGGGGGUGGGGGUGGGUGUUAGUCUUGAAUGCACAGGCAGUGCAUUUAUUUAUGUUGAGUGUAACACAAACACUGCAGUGUUGAUUGCGCGCAUGGGACGUCCAACUCUUACACAUAUAAGUUAAAAGUGCACUCAUUCCGCAAUUAAUAUAACAUUCAUCCGAUGCGGCUUGCUUUGCGACACUCGGGAGCUCAAUGAUGGCUGUUAAUUGACCAAUUAGUGCUUUUAUUGCAAGGGCCGUCCUGUUCCGUGUAUACGGCAAAUAAACAAAGCUGCUGUGACGUCAUCGGUGAGGGAGGAGUGCAAAGACAGGAGAAAUGUGUCAAAGUGAAAAGAAGGUAGCAAGUUUUAUUUGUGACCUCUGUGUGUGUUUGUGUGUGCAUGCAGAUGUGUACGUGCACGCCCCUCCCUGACGCGCGUGCACACAGGAGAGAGACAGCCUGCGUGGCCACAACGUGCACAUAAAGCAGCACAGCCACGUUUGUAGUUGAGCCAUCGUGGAGAGGACUCAAUGCAAAGAGCGUCACCAUGUGAGUAUUGCCGUUUAAAAAAUGAUUAAAGAAAUGUUUAAAAUGUUUAAAAAAAUAUUGAAACACUUAAAAUUAUGAUUUUCAUUAUUUUUGUCAAUUUAAUUCUGAGCUGGUAACGUUAGGUUUGCAGGUUUUAUUUGAGAAUGUGUAGACUCGUUGUGAUAACUUUAUUUAUUAUUAUUGUUAUUAUAUUAUUAUUAUUAUUAUUGUUAUAUAACUUUAUUUUUCAUAAUUUUAUAAAAGUUUAUUUGUCUGCAUGUUACAUGUGCAAAAUGUAUAUAUUUUUUAAAAGGGCUUUUUUAAAAAGGGUUAGUAAAAGUAAAAGUAAAACAUUUGACUUUUUUUGUUGCUUAAUUUUAUUUACAUUACAUUUAUUUUAGAACAUUAUUUACAUUCAUAUUUCCUAGAGGUCAUAGUGACGCAGCUAUUUUGAAGCCUAAUUUCAUAUCAUCCUAUUAUAUUGUACGUGCAUUAUGCAUAAAGGCAUUUGAAGAGCUGCAGCCCUCAAAAUAUAAACGCCAUAAACCACAACAACUUGGAAUGGGGCUAAUAUAUAUAUAUUAUAUAUCCUAUAUUUACACCCAAGUAUUAAAGCAGAGUUUCAAGCCAACUUUCUAAAGUCCCCCCCUGCUCUUGUGCUGCUGUAUAGUUUGCAUUGUGUGCUCUCAUUAGGGGGACUUCCUGGCAGGGCAGGGCGCUUGUAUCGGAGCUGUCCAAUCAGUGCAUUUACACGGCUUGUUAGCGACAGUUAAUGAGGGCUCCUCCCCCUCUUCGCUCCUUCUUCCUCUCCUCAGCAUUAACAUUCAUACAUUGUGUCAACUUCUAAUGAAGCUGCCAGCAAAAAGCCUCCAAGUUUGAGUUGCAUCUUUCACUGCAGGUCUGCAUGCUUUUGUUUCACAUCAUCAUCAUCAUCAUCACCAUCACCAUCAUCAUCAUCGGCGUGUGUAGAGCCGGGUGAGCUGUAUGAUGCAUGCAUGACAGAUCCGCCAUUGUUGCCUGAAUGAGGCUUGACAUGUUGCCUCUGCAGACGCGAGUUCACUUUUGCAAAACGGAGGGGGCGGUGCCCUCUGUCAGGCCCCUCCCUCUGCAACCACCCUCCACCUGCUGCACCCCCACCCCCCUUCUCCCUGUAGCACCACCACCAAAGCCAUACCAUCCGCACAUCAGUGCCCUUCAAUUCAGGUACAAACAGUGGCGAGUGGUGGACCCCCCCCCCCCCCCCCCUUCCCCCCACCUCCAGAGACACCACUUAAAAAUCAAUUAGGACUCCUCUGGCACCAUGACACAAACAGGUGGCCCAGCUCCUACAUUUUGGAUUACACAUAAAGUGCUUACAGUAUUUGACUUACAGGACAUCAUUUUUUAUUUAUUAUUAAUAAGCUCAUGGAAUAGUUUCCAAGAUUUCAAAGUUCCUCAUUGGCUCAUGAUGUGAUAAGUCAAAUUGUCAGAACUUUCAAAAGAGAUGAUACGUACCCCAAAUGGCCAUUUUUAUUAUGGGGAAAAUGAGAUUACUAACACAUAUUGUUAUUUAGCUCUACUGUGACUAUUAUUUAUAGGAUGUGAUAUUAUAGUUCUAGCCUUGAUACAGGAAAAAGCAUGGGAAUUUUACUUUAGCUUGACAAAUUCCAUGAAACAUCACAUUUAUACUUCAACAUGUCUGAAAAUUAGUAGUAAGAACUUAAAUAAAGAUAUCAUAAAUAUUUCAAUUCAUUGCAGUCUUUUCUAAUGAUGUAUUUUUGGUGUAGAGGGAGGAAGUGGUGGAGGAAGGGGAAUCCUUCCCAUGCAGGCCUGCUUGUUCAGUCUUCCAGGUAGAUGGUCUGAUGCGGAGACAUAUAAAUAUAGCAUAUAUAUAUA